GACGAACGCUGGCGGCGUGCUUAACACAUGCAAGUCGAACGGAAAGGCCCUGCUUUUGUGGGGUGCUCGAGUGGCGAACGGGUGAGUAACACGUGAGUAACCUGCCCUUGACUUUGGGAUAACUUCAGGAAACUGGGGCUAAUACCGGAUAGGAGCUCCUGCUGCAUGGUGGGGGUUGGAAAGUUUCGGCGGUUGGGGAUGGACUCGCGGCUUAUCAGCUUGUUGGUGGGGUAGUGGCUUACCAAGGCUUUGACGGGUAGCCGGCCUGAGAGGGUGACCGGCCACAUUGGGACUGAGAUACGGCCCAGACUCCUGCGGGAGGCAGCAGUGGGGAAUAUUGCACAAUGGGCGGAAGCCUGAUGCAGCAACGCCGCGUGCGGGAUGACGGCCUUCGGGUUGUAAACCGCUUUCGCCUGUGACGAAGCGUGAGUGACGGUAAUGGGUAAAGAAGCACCGGCUAACUACGUGCCAGCAGCCGCGGUGAUACGUAGGGUGCGAGCGUUGUCCGGAUUUAUUGGGCGUAAAGGGCUCGUAGGUGGUUGAUCGCGUCGGAAGUGUAAUCUUGGGGCUUAACCCUGAGCGUGCUUUCGAUACGGGUUGACUUGAGGAAGGUAGGGGAGAAUGGAAUUCCUGGUGGAGCGGUGGAAUGCGCAGAUAUCAGGAGGAACACCAGUGGCGAAGGCGGUUCUCUGGGCCUUUCCUGACGCUGAGGAGCGAAAGCGUGGGGAGCGAACAGGCUUAGAUACCCUGGUAGUCCACGCUGUAAACGGUGGGUACUAGGUGUGGGGUCCAUUCCACGGGUUCCGUGCCGUAGCUAACGCUUUAAGUACCCCGCCUGGGGAGUACGGCCGCAAGGCUAAAACUCAAAGGAAUUGACGGGGCCCCGCACAAGCGGCGGAGCAUGCGGAUUAAUUCGAUGCAACGCGUAGAACCUUACCUGGGUUUGACAUGGAUCGGGAGUGCUCAGAGAUGGGUGUGCCUCUUUUGGGGUCGGUUCACAGGUGGUGCAUGGCUGUCGUCAGCUCGUGUCGUGAGAUGUUGGGUUAAGUCCCGCAACGAGCGCAACCCUUGUUCACUGUUGCCAGCACGUUAUGGUGGGGACUCAGUGGAGACCGCCGGGGUCAACUCGGAGGAAGGUGGGGAUGACGUCAAGUCUUCAUACCCCUUAUGUCCAGGGCUUCACGCAUGCUACAAUGGCUGGUACAGAGAGAGGGGAGCCUGUGAGGGUGAGAGAAUAUCUGAAAAACGGUCUCACUUUUGAGAGGGGUGUGCAAAUCUACAUCACAAAAUGUGAGUGUCUAGUAAUAUCAGAUAUGAAAAGCUGCGGGGAAAAUGUUUUCGGGGGU
RNAcentral lists this ribosomal RNA (1346 nucleotides) under uncultured bacterium. RNAcentral's name for it is "bacterial SSU rRNA". It matches the Rfam family "Bacterial small subunit ribosomal RNA", at positions 28 to 1381 of the family's 1533-position model. The record is from RNAcentral.